This 90-nucleotide transfer RNA is filed under the name Acetobacteraceae bacterium. Its description in RNAcentral is "tRNA-Ser". It matches the Rfam family "tRNA". From Rfam's summary of the family: Transfer RNA (tRNA) molecules are approximately 80 nucleotides in length. Their secondary structure includes four short double-helical elements and three loops (D, anti-codon, and T loops). Further hydrogen bonds mediate the characteristic L-shaped molecular structure. tRNAs have two regions of fundamental functional importance: the anti-codon, which is responsible for specific mRNA codon recognition, and the 3' end, to which the tRNAs corresponding amino acid is attached (by aminoacyl-tRNA synthetases). tRNAs cope with the degeneracy of the genetic code in two manners: having more than one tRNA (with a specific anti-codon) for a particular amino acid; and 'wobble' base-pairing, i.e. permitting non-standard base-pairing at the 3rd anti-codon position. Lineage: Bacteria; Pseudomonadati; Pseudomonadota; Alphaproteobacteria; Acetobacterales; Acetobacteraceae. RNAcentral also lists the same sequence under 1 other name. The record is from RNAcentral.
GGAGAGGUGCCAGAGUGGCCGAUCGGGGCGGUCUCGAAAACCGUUGUACGUUCAAGCGUACCGUGGGUUCGAAUCCCACCCUCUCCGCCA